RNAcentral lists this unclassified non-coding RNA (147 nucleotides) under uncultured Ascomycota. Its description in RNAcentral is "sequence contains ITS2". The record is from RNAcentral. Lineage: Eukaryota; Fungi; Ascomycota.
CAGCACUGAGGCCCCAGCCUUGCGUUGGCGGACGGCUCCUCCGCGAGGAGCCGCCGCCCAAACCCCGACGGCGCCGCCCCGCGGCCGACGAAGCGCGAAAAUGCCGAGUCGAGCGCGAGAGGCGGCGGCCUUGUGAACGAACCACAG